GACAGAGGGUGCAAACGUUGUUCGGAAUUACUGGGCGUAAAGCGGGUGUAGGCGGCCAUGCAAGUCGGAUGUGAAAUCCCUGGGCUCAACCCCGGAAGCGCACUCGAAACUGCGUGGCUAGAGUCUCGGAGAGGAAGGUGGAAUGCUUGGUGUAGAGGUGAAAUUCGUAGAUAUCAAGUAGAACACCGGUGGCGAAGGCGGCCUUCUGGACGAUGACUGACGCUGAGACCCGAAAGCGUGGGGAGCAAACAGGAUUAGAUACCCUGGUAGUCCACGCCGUAAACGAUGAGUGCUAGAUGUCACGGCUUUGACCGCUGUGGUGUCGUAGCUAACGCGUUAAGCACUCCGCCUGGGGAGUACGGCCGCAAGGCUA
This 373-nucleotide ribosomal RNA is filed under the name uncultured prokaryote. RNAcentral describes it as "bacterial SSU rRNA". It matches the Rfam family "Bacterial small subunit ribosomal RNA", at positions 524 to 896 of the family's 1533-position model. The record is from RNAcentral.